GUCUUUUUGUGUAUUAAUUUAAAGUCUAAUCUGCCCAUUGAUUGUAAUUUAACGGCUGCGGUAUAUUGACCGUACAAAGGUAGCGUGAUAAUUAGUUUUUUAAUUGAAAGCUGGUAUGAAAGAUUGGACGAGGAAUUUACUGUUUCAAUAUAUUUUUAUAAUUUUAUUUUUAAGUUAAAAAGCUUAAAUUUUUUCAUGGGACGAGAAGACCCUAUAGAGUUUAAUAUUCUUAAUUUUUUUUAGUAUUCCUAAUUUAUAAGAAUAUUUAGUUGGGGUGACUUAAAAAUUUAAUAAACUUUUUAUUUUGAAACAUUGAUUUUUGGAUUUUUGAUCUAUUUUAAUAAUUAAAGAUAAAAUUACCUUAGGGAUAACAGCGUUAUUUCUUAAAGAGUUCUUAUCAGAUAAGAAGUUUGCGACCUCGAUGUUGGAUUAAAAUUAAUAUUUGGUGCAGUAGCUGAUAUAUUAAGUCUGUUCGACUUUUAAAAUUUUACA
Molecule: ribosomal RNA, 492 nt
Filed under: Melasis buprestoides
Lineage: Eukaryota; Metazoa; Arthropoda; Insecta; Coleoptera; Eucnemidae
Description: partial 16S ribosomal RNA
Rfam family: Bacterial large subunit ribosomal RNA (bases 367-492)
Source: RNAcentral